GAUGAACGCUGGCGGCGUGCUUAACACAUGCAAGUCGAACGGAAAGGCCCAAGCUUGCUUGGGUACUCGAGUGGCGAACGGGUGAGUAACACGUGGGUGAUCUGCCCUGCACUUCGGGAUAAGCCUGGGAAACUGGGUCUAAUACCGGAUAGGACCACAUUUUGGAUGGUGUGGUGGAAAGUUUUUCGGUGUGGGAUGAGCUCGCGGCCUAUCAGCUUGUUGGUGGGGUAAUGGCCUACCAAGGCGUCGACGGGUAGCCGGCCUGAGAGGGUGUACGGCCACAUUGGGACUGAGAUACGGCCCAGACUCCUACGGGAGGCAGCAGUGGGGAAUAUUGCACAAUGGGCGCAAGCCUGAUGCAGCAACGCCGCGUGGGGGAUGACGGCCUUCGGGUUGUAAACUCCUUUCGCUAGGGACGAAGCGUUUUUGUGACGGUACCUGGAGAAGAAGCACCGGCUAACUACGUG
Molecule: ribosomal RNA, 467 nt
Filed under: uncultured bacterium
Lineage: Bacteria
Description: partial 16S ribosomal RNA
Rfam family: Bacterial small subunit ribosomal RNA
Source: RNAcentral